AACAAACGCUGGCGGCGUGCCUAAUACAUGCAAGUCGAACGGGGAAAGCCUUCGGGUGAGUACUAGUGGCGCACGGGUGAGUAACACGUGGGUAAUCUGCUUUAGAGUGGGGGAUAACCAGUCGAAAGAUUGGCUAAUACCGCAUAAGACCACAGGAUCUGCGGAUCUAGGGGUCAAAGGUUUUUCGCUCUAAAAUGAACCCGCGCGGGAUUAGCUAGUUGGUGAGGUAACGGCUCACCAAGGCUACGAUCUCUAGCUGGUCUGAGAGGAUGAUCAGCCACACUGGAACUGAGACACGGUCCAGACUCCUACGGGAGGCAGCAGUAGGGAAUAUUGCACAAUGGAGGAAACUCUGAUGCAGCGACGCCGCGUGAGUGAUGAAGGCCUCGGUCGUAAGCUCUGUCGUAUGGAAGUAAGAAAGUAGAAUGUACA
This 432-nucleotide ribosomal RNA is filed under the name uncultured bacterium. RNAcentral describes it as "bacterial SSU rRNA". It matches the Rfam family "Bacterial small subunit ribosomal RNA", at positions 29 to 465 of the family's 1533-position model. The record is from RNAcentral.